CGAAAGCCUGAUGCAGCGACGCCGCGUGGGGGAUGACGGCCUUCGGGUUGUAAACCCCUUUCAGUAGGGAAGAAGCGAGAGUGACGGUACCUGCAGAAGAAGCGCCGGCUAACUACGUGCCAGCAGCCGCGGUAAUACGUAGGGCGCAAGCGUUGUCCGGAAUUAUUGGGCGUAAAGAGCUUGUAGGUGGCUUGUCGCGUCUGCCGUGAAAACCCGAGGCUCAACCUCGGGCGUGCGGUGGGUACGGGCAGGCUAGAGUGUGGUAGGGGAGACUGGAACUCCUGGUGUAGCGGUGAAAUGCGCAGAUAUCAGGAAGAACACCGAUGGCGAAGGCAGGUCUCUGGGCCAUUACUGACACUGAGAAGCGAAAGCAUGGGUAGCGAACAGGAUUAGAUACCCUGGUAGUCCAUGCCGUAAACGUUGGGCACUAGGUGUGGGGGACAUUCCACGUUUUCCGCGCCGUAGCUAACGCAUUAAGUGCCCCGCCUGGGGAGUACGGCCGCAAGGCUAAAACUCAAAGGAAUUGACGGGGGCCCGCACAAGCGGCGGAGCAUGCUGAUUAAUUCGAUGCAACGCGAAGAACCUUACCAAGGCUUGACAUGCACUGGACGGCUGCAGAGAUGUGGCUUUCUUUGGACUGGUGCACAGGUGGUGCAUGGUUGUCGUCAGCUCGUGUCGUGAGAUGUUGGGUUAAGUCCCGCAACGAGCGCAACCCUCGUUUCUAUGUUGCCCAGCACGUAAUGGUGGGGACUCAUAGGAGACUGCCGGGGGUCAACUCGGAGGAAGGUGGGGUACGAACUCAAUCCUUCAUGCCCCUUAUGUCUUUGGGUUUCAAGAAUGCUACAUGGGUCGGUACCAUAGGUUUGCGAAUCUGGGAGGGGAA
RNAcentral lists this ribosomal RNA (883 nucleotides) under Brachybacterium sp. PB16. Its description in RNAcentral is "bacterial SSU rRNA". It matches the Rfam family "Bacterial small subunit ribosomal RNA", at positions 376 to 1266 of the family's 1533-position model. The record is from RNAcentral. Lineage: Bacteria; Bacillati; Actinomycetota; Actinomycetes; Micrococcales; Dermabacteraceae.